GUGGGGAAUUUUGGACAAUGGGGGAAACCCUGAUCCAGCGACGCCGCGUGAAGGAUGAAGGCCUUCGGGUUGUAAACUUCUUUUGGAGGGGACGAAUAAAUUGACGGUACCCUCAGAAAAAGCCACGGCUAACUACGUGCCAGCAGCCGCGGUAAUACGUAGGUGGCGAGCGUUACUCGGAAUUACUAGGCGUAAAGCGUAUGUAGGUGGUUAGAUAAGUCUAUGGUGAAAUUUCCUGGCUUAACUGGGAAGGGACAUAGAUACUAUCUGGCUUGAGUGUGGGAGGGGGAGACGGAAUUCCUGGUGUAGCGGUGAAAUGCGUAGAUAUCAGGAGGAACACCGAUGGCGAAAGCAGUCUCCUGGCCCAAUACUGACACUGAGGUACGAAAGCUAGGGUAGCAAACAGGAUUAGAAACCCCAGUAGUCC
Molecule: ribosomal RNA, 427 nt
Filed under: uncultured bacterium
Lineage: Bacteria
Description: partial 16S ribosomal RNA
Rfam family: Bacterial small subunit ribosomal RNA
Source: RNAcentral